GACGAACGCUGGCGGCGUGCUUAACACAUGCAAGUCGAACGGAAAGGCCCUGCUUGCAGGGUACUCGAGUGGCGAACGGGUGAGUAACACGUGGGUGAUCUGCCCUGCACUUCGGGAUAAGCCUGGGAAACUGGGUCUAAUACCGGAUAGGAGCCAUUUUUAGUGUGAUGGUUGGAAAGUUUUUUCGGUGUAGGAUGAGCUCGCGGCCUAUCAGCUUGUUGGUGGGGUAAUGGCCUACCAAGGCGGCGACGGGUAGCCGGCCUGAGAGGGUGGACGGCCACAUUGGGACUGAGAUAAGGCCCAGACUCCUACGGGAGGAAGCAGUGGGGAAUAUUGCACAAUGGGCGCAAGCCUGAUGCAGCGACGCCGCGUGGGGGAUGACGGCCUUCGGGUUGUAAACUCCUUUCGCUAGGGACGAAGCUUUUUGUGACGGUACCUAGAUAAGAAGCACCGGCUAACUACGUG
Molecule: ribosomal RNA, 465 nt
Filed under: uncultured bacterium
Lineage: Bacteria
Description: partial 16S ribosomal RNA
Rfam family: Bacterial small subunit ribosomal RNA
Source: RNAcentral